AUGUUGUUGUUAUCUGUUCCUUUUCUUUGGGCUGUUUCUCUUCCUUUGGGCCCAAGUCUAAGGUCUUUUUCUUUGGGCUCAAGUUUGCGUGAAGAUCAAGGGCUAGUAGGGUUAUAGAGCUUUUAUUUAAGCGCUGCCUAAGAACAUCUACGGACAUCGAACCAUUGCUGCUGUUCUGCAAUAAAACAUCGACCUGUUCUGCUCAACAACCGAAGAUCUGCAUCCUUCCUUCUAUUGACGCAUCUUAGUCUCUCUCUUGAACAUUUAGACUUGUGGUUCCUGUGUUCGAGAGUUUCUGUUUGUUGCUGUGAAUUGAUCGCAUAUUGCUAACCAGGUGCUGUCGAUCUAGAUUGUCAUCGACCUGAUUGUCGAUGACUUGAUUGUUGCUGUUAUAAUCUUCGCUAUAGCACUCUACGGUGUUCAAGCUGCUGUGUUUGGCUCUGUGUUUCGGCAGUUCGCAGCUAAGUUUAGCUGCUGUAUUUUUUGAUUCUUUUUACAGCCUGAUUUGAGUUUGUUUAAAGUAGUACUGAUUGUUUUUAUAUAAAAAAAAACUUUGUGCUUGAUAUUGUGUCUUUGACAUGGUAUCAGAGCCAUAAGUGACUCUUGGGUGACUCUUUUUCCGCUACUGCUUCCGUGGAGCUAUAAAUCAAAAUUUGUGUGGUUCAAGGGAAUCUUAGGAGUCUUGGUGGUUCUCUGAUUCUGCCGAUUCCAGAUUGUCCUCGUAUUCUCGGAAUUAGUGAAGCUGUGAUCGGUAUUUGAUAUUCUUAGCUUAUAAUCAGACUUGUAACCCUAAGUGAAGGUUACAAGUCUGGUUACGGGAGUUUAUACGCAACCACUGUGUUAGGCUCUAUAGGUUUAUGGAUUAGUAAGAUUGGCUAAAUGGACCAAGCUUCUAGAAGAUGGUGGGUAUUAGAGUGGGCUUUGGGGUAAUUAUGGGCCUGGGGUUUAGGGGGAAACCCUCCCUAUAAAUAGUUAAUGGAAAUUAGGAGUUAAGGUUGGUUCAUUUGUUUUAAAAACUUGUAUUAGACAUUUCAUAUGUAUGCAAGUUUAAGCAUUUGAAUAUUCAAAUCUUCAUCUUCUUGUUCUUGAUUUCUUGAAGAUCAUCAAGUUUGGAUUUCGCCCAUCCUUGAUGAUUGUUUGAUAUCGUUGUUUGAUCCGAUUUUCGGGACUUACAAUUGGUAUCAGAGCCAAUUUGAUAUCAAACACUCAAGAAAUUCUGAAUUUUAGUUGAAGAUCUUCAUCGUGUUCUUCAUGUUCUUCAUCGUGUUCAUUGCGUUAUUCAAAGAAUCUCUAUACUUUGGUCGUUGAUCUCUUUAAAAACUGUUAAAAUAUUCAUUAUCUUUAUUCGAGAUUAUCAUUACAGCAGCAAACAUCAUCAUUGUCAAUCAUCUUAUCCACAUAUUGUUUCUCUCUCAUCAUAAAUCAUCAUCGUCAAACAGUGCAUCGUCAUCAUCGUACAGCAGACAAGGAAUCUUUGUACAAUCAUCCGACAUCAUUCGAAAUCAAACAUCUUAAUUUAUCAUUUCAUCCGGAAUCAUAUCAUCUAAUCCGACAUCAUCCGGGAUCGUCAUUUCGAACAUUCAUCAUCAUCAUCAUCAGACAUCAACUUUUUUCAUCGGAGAUAUUCACCGUUCCUCAUCCGUAAUCAUCAUCUUCAGAGGCGAAGGUUAUUUGGUGCCCGGGGGUGCACCCGCCCACCCCAAUGUUUCGGUUAGAAGUGUAUAGGUUUCAUUUUUUCGUCCGGAAAUUUUAAAAAUUAUAUAGGAUCGCCCCCCAAUUAUUUUUCCUAAAUAUUUAUACAUUAUAUAAAUUAAAAUAAAGUUU
RNAcentral lists this long non-coding RNA (1824 nucleotides) under Helianthus annuus (common sunflower). RNAcentral describes it as "hypothetical non coding rna". The record is from RNAcentral. Lineage: Eukaryota; Viridiplantae; Streptophyta; Magnoliopsida; Asterales; Asteraceae.